UUUAUACUCCCUCGUCCGAAAAUACUUGUCAUCAAAAUCGAUAAAAAAAAGAUGUAUCUAGAACUAAAAUACAUCUAGAUACAUCCCCUUUUAUCCAUUUUGGUGACAACUAUUUUCGGACAGAGGGAGUACUCA
Molecule: non-coding RNA, 135 nt
Organism: Triticum urartu
Lineage: Eukaryota; Viridiplantae; Streptophyta; Magnoliopsida; Poales; Poaceae
Source: Rfam